RNAcentral lists this ribosomal RNA (530 nucleotides) under Pseudetroplus maculatus (orange chromide). RNAcentral's name for it is "partial large subunit ribosomal RNA". It matches the Rfam family "Bacterial large subunit ribosomal RNA", at positions 2000 to 2654 of the family's 2925-position model. Lineage: Eukaryota; Metazoa; Chordata; Actinopteri; Cichliformes; Cichlidae. The record is from RNAcentral.
CAUAACGAGGGCUUAACUGUCUCCCUUUUCCAGUCCAUGAAAUUGAUCUCCCCGUGCAGAAUCGGGGAUUAAAACAUAAGACGAGAAGACCCUAUGGAGCUUUAGACAAAGAGCAGACCAUGUUAAACCCCCCUAAAUAAAGGACAAAACCAAUUGGCCCCUGCCCUUAUGUCUUUGGUUGGGGCGACCGCGGGGAAACAAAAAACCCCCAUGUGGACUGAAGACAUUCCUCUUCACAACCAAGAGCCACAGCUCUAAGCAACAGAACAUCUGACCAACAAGAUCCGGCACUAAGCCGAUCAACGGACCGAGUUACCCUAGGGAUAACAGCGCAAUCUCCUUUUAGAGCCCCCAUCGACAAGGAGGUUUACGACCUCGAUGUUGGAUCAGGACAUCCUAAUGGUGCAGCCGCUAUUAAGGGUUCGUUUGUUCAACGAUUAAAGUCCUACGUGAUCUGAUUCCCAAACCGGAGAGAAAAAGUUUAUCAAAAGCAUAUACGUGAUCUGAUUUCAGACCGGAUUUUUUUAUUU